This 29-nucleotide non-coding RNA is filed under the name Mus musculus (house mouse). Lineage: Eukaryota; Metazoa; Chordata; Mammalia; Rodentia; Muridae. The record is from RNAcentral.
UAACAUUUUAGAUCCUGAGCCUAAUGCCU